UGGGGAAUAUUGCACAAUGGGCGCAAGCCUGAUGCAGCAACGCCGCGUGAGGGACGACGGCCUUCGGGUUGUAAACCUCUUUUAGUAGGGAAGAAGCGAAAGUGACGGUACCUGCAGAAAAAACGCACCGGCUAACUACGUGCCAGCAGCCGCGGUAAUACGUAGGGUGCGAGCGUUGUCCGGAAUUAUUGGGCGUAAAGAGCUCGUAGGCGGUCUGUCGCGUCUGCUGUGAAAACCCGAGGCUCAACCUCGGGCCUGCAGUGGGUACGGGCAGACUAGAGUGCGGUAGGGGAGAAUGGAAUUCCUGGUGUAGCGGUGGAAUGCGCAGAUAUCAGGAGGAACACCGAUGGCGAAGGCAGUUCUCUGGGCCGUAACUGACGCUGAGGAGCGAAAGCGUGGGGAGCGAACAGGAUUAGAUACCCUGGUAGUCCACGCCGUAAACGUUGGGCGCUAGAUGUGGGGACCAUUCCACGGUUUCCGUGUCGCAGCUAACGCAUUAAGCGCCCCGCCUGGGGAGUACGGCCGCAAGGCUAAAACUCAAAUGAAUUGACGGGGUCAUAGCUGUUUCCU
This 570-nucleotide ribosomal RNA is filed under the name uncultured bacterium. RNAcentral's name for it is "partial 16S ribosomal RNA". It matches the Rfam family "Bacterial small subunit ribosomal RNA", at positions 355 to 1375 of the family's 1533-position model. The record is from RNAcentral.